RNAcentral lists this non-coding RNA (756 nucleotides) under Ideopsis vulgaris. Lineage: Eukaryota; Metazoa; Arthropoda; Insecta; Lepidoptera; Nymphalidae. The record is from RNAcentral.
AAAAAUUUUAUUAAAAGUUUAUUUUAUAUAUAAAUUUUAGUGUAAAAUUAUUAUUAUUUUAAUAAUAAUAAUAAUGUUAUUGUAGUAAAUAAAAUUAAAAAUUUAAGAAAUUAAGAUUUAGUAAUACAAAAAUUAAUAACAAAUUUUGUGCCAGCAGUUGCGGUUAUACAAAAAUUAAAUUAAAUUAUUUCAGUAUAUGAAUAAUAAAUUAAAUUAAAAUAAAUAUUAAAUUAUUAGGUGAAAUUUUAAUUUAAAUAAAUUUUAUUAAAAAAUUUAUGUUUUAAUAAAUUUUAUUAUAAACUAGGAUUAGAUACCCUAUUAUUAAAAAUUUAAAUUAUAAUACUAAAAUAGUAGAUAAUUAUUUAUUGAAACUUAAAUAAUAUGGCGGUAUUUUAGUUCAUUUAGAGGAAUCUGUUUAAUAAUUGAUAGUCCACGAUUAAAUUUACUUAAUUAAUAAUUUUAUAUAUCGUUGUUAAAAAAAUAUUUUUAAUAAAAAAUAAUAUUUAAAAAUUAAAAUAAAAAAUUAAUUCAGAUCAAGAUGUAGAUUAUAAUUAAGAAUAUAAUGGAUUACAAUAAAUUUAUUUAAAAUGAAUAUAUUAUUGAAAAAUAAUAUUGAAGGUGGAUUUAAAUGUAAUUUUAUUUAGUUAAUUAAAAUGAUUAAAAAUUAAAAUAUGUACAUAUUGCCCGUCACUUUCAUUUAAAAAUUGAAAUAAGUCGUAACAAAGUAGAAGUACUGGAAAGUGUUUCUAGAAAGGA